This 255-nucleotide ribosomal RNA is filed under the name uncultured bacterium. RNAcentral describes it as "partial 16S ribosomal RNA". It matches the Rfam family "Bacterial small subunit ribosomal RNA", at positions 524 to 776 of the family's 1533-position model. The record is from RNAcentral.
UACGUAGGUGGCAAGCGUUGUCCGGAUUUAUUGGGUUUAAAGGGUGCGUAGGCGGCUUAUUAAGUCAGUGGUGAAAUACUCUAGCUCAACUAGAGGGGUGCCAUUGAUACUGAUGAGCUUGAGUACAGAUGAGGUAGGCGGAAUUGACGGUGUAGCGGUGAAAUGCUUAGAUAUCGUCAAGAACACCUAUAGCGAAGGCAGCUUACUAGGCUGUAACUGACGCUGAGGCACGAAACGUGUGGGGCAUCAAACAGG